UCCUUCGGGUGAAGUGAGGCAAUGACUAGAGUGGCGAACUGGUGAGUAACACGUAAGAAACCUGCCCUUUAGUGGGGGAUAACAUUUGGAAACAGAUGCUAAUACCGCGUAACAACAAAUCACACAUGUGAUCUGUUUGAAAGGUCCUUUUGGAUCGCUAGAGGAUGGUCUUGCGGCGUAUUAGCUUGUUGGUAGGGUAGAAGCCUACCAAGGCAAUGAUGCGUAGCCGAGUUGAGAGACUGGCCGGCCACAUUGGGACUGAGACACUGCCCAAACUCCUACGGGAGGCUGCAGUAGGGAAUUUUCCGCAAUGCACGAAAGUGUGACGGAGCGACGCCGCGUGUGUGAUGAAGGCUUUCGGGUCGUAAAGCACUGUUGUAAGGGAAGAAUAACUGAAUUCAGAGAAAGUUUUCA
RNAcentral lists this ribosomal RNA (414 nucleotides) under Oenococcus oeni. Its description in RNAcentral is "bacterial SSU rRNA". It matches the Rfam family "Bacterial small subunit ribosomal RNA", at positions 73 to 472 of the family's 1533-position model. The record is from RNAcentral. Lineage: Bacteria; Bacillati; Bacillota; Bacilli; Lactobacillales; Lactobacillaceae.